AUUCUGGUGUCCUAGGCGUAGAGGAACCACACCAAUCCAUCCCGAACUUGGUGGUUAAACUCUAUUGCGGUGACGAUACUGUAGGAGAGGUCCUGCGGCAAAAUAGCUCGGCGCCAGGAUGAUAAAAAGCUUAACACCUC
This 140-nucleotide ribosomal RNA is filed under the name Pongamia pinnata (Indian beech tree). Lineage: Eukaryota; Viridiplantae; Streptophyta; Magnoliopsida; Fabales; Fabaceae. The record is from RNAcentral.